Molecule: long non-coding RNA, 583 nt
Filed under: Helianthus annuus (common sunflower)
Lineage: Eukaryota; Viridiplantae; Streptophyta; Magnoliopsida; Asterales; Asteraceae
Source: RNAcentral
AACUCGAUCGCUAUUACGAUUCAACGUCCGAUCGAUUAUAACUAUCCAACGAUUGUUUGAGUGCUGCUCAAAUUGAGUUUAUAUUUUGUUAUUCAUCGUGAUUUCGACUUGAAUGUUUGAGUGCUGUCUAAAUUCAGACGAUACUCUGUCAUUCGUUGUGAAUCCGCUGAAUUGUUAAGUAUUGCACUUUGUUAAUCGUUUUCAGGGUUUAAUCUCGUGAAUUGUCGUAAAUGCUGUAUUAGUUAUUUACCUAGUUUCGUGUGCAUCAUUUCCUAAAUUAGGUUAUUAGUCUUACCAAUAGGCUAAACUUCACCUCAUACACCUACAAUCAAAAUAGAUGCUAAUUCUCUGAAGAACCUGAAUCAUGAAGCUUGUUAAUUCAAUACUGCAUGCUUAUAAUGUAAUUUCAGUAGAUUGGAGUAAGAAUUGGAUCCGGCACUGAAGGCAUCAAGAAGUGGCUUAUUUUAUUAAUUUAAUCAACUUAAGAAAUAUUGUUUUUAGGGUUUAUCCCGUAUUAAAAGCUACCUUUGUAAAACAUGGAAUUUAUUCCAUCUAUUUAAAUAAAAUCUGGUGUUUCUAAACU